Panthera uncia (snow leopard) is the source of this 554-nucleotide long non-coding RNA. RefSeq lists it as uncharacterized. Lineage: Eukaryota; Metazoa; Chordata; Mammalia; Carnivora; Felidae. The record is from RefSeq and is a predicted model, not a curated record. The transcript has 3 exons.
CUCCCAGGAGGAAGCACUACGACAGAGAGAGGGCACAGUCACAUAACCUGUGUUUCAGUCCUGUCGCAAUCACUCUGUUUUACCAGAUCCAGGAACUAAAGCCACAUCAGAUGUUUCUUUUAAGGAGCUAGAGGAACAUCUAAGUCCAUGCACCAAAUGAGACAGUCCCCGGUGUCGGGGAAACACCGGACGAGACGGCCACUCCGUAAAUCUUGCCGCACGGUGUUUGCGCGCAUCCUCGUGGGUUAGAAGCAGCAUUCGACCGAGAGAGUCUGUUGAGUGAAACAUCACCAGCUCCCGUUUGACCAAAAAUGGCUACAGAUAAACAAGUCUCAUCCCUGGCAGGAUGCGGCUCCGUCUGGCAAAUGUUUAUCAAGCGCCAGCUGUGUUCCAGGGAUGCGGAGGCGGAGAGCCACGGUCCGUGGCCCCUGGUAGUCCCCGGGUACGCCGGGAAAGGACACUCUGGGUCAUCGAUGGGAAGGAGGCAGUGCCUUCGCAAAGAACGUGUAUUGUUCACUGUCAGUUAAUAAACUAGCAUCUGGUUUACUCAGAAA